This 405-nucleotide unclassified non-coding RNA is filed under the name Hevea brasiliensis (rubber tree). Lineage: Eukaryota; Viridiplantae; Streptophyta; Magnoliopsida; Malpighiales; Euphorbiaceae. The record is from RNAcentral.
GGUCAUUCGAGUUGUCUGAUACAGACUGCAGGGUUCAGUGAGCGGUCAUCAAGAUGUUCACUUGCCAUACCCCCCUCUGUUUGUUUAGGCUAUCCUCCCUAAUGCCCUAAGACAGUAAACUGUUCACUAACACACAAAAAACAUCAAACCAUUACCAGCCAGAGACCACCAGGUGUAGCUCCUACCCCUUUAACAACAGUUUAACCUAAACAUGAUAACCAUAGACUACAAAAGACCAAAAACAUCACACUAGUAUCGCCUCCGCCACCCCACUUUCCCCGUUGAGAACAGUCACAUUGCCAUCAGAGUCUACAUCGACGAUUGCCGAAUCGCCCUCUUUAAUCUCCCCUGCGAGCAUCUUCUCUGCCAAGCUAUCCUCCAACAGCCUCAUGAUCGCCCUCCUCA